GCUUGUCUCAAAGAUUAAGCCAUGCAUGUCUAAGUACAAGCCUCAGUAAGGUGAAACCGCGAAUGGCUCAUUAAAUCACACCUAAUCUACUGGAAAGUUACUAGUUACUUGGAUAACUGAGGUAAUUCUUGAGCUAAUACAUGCGAAAAGUCGGCGCAAGUCGAUGUAUUUAUUAGAUACAGAAUCAAUACGUGUUCUGCACGUUCUAUUGAUGAAUCAUAAUAACUGUUCGAAUCGCACGGGCAACCGGCGAUAGUUCAUUCAAAUUUCUGCCCUAUCAGCUUUCGACGGUAGUGUAGUGGACUACCGUGGCGUUAACGGGUAACGGAGAAUUAGGGUUCGAUUCCGGAGAGGGAGCCUGAGAAACGGCUACCACAUCCAAGGAAGGCAGCAGG
Molecule: ribosomal RNA, 395 nt
Filed under: uncultured eukaryote
Lineage: Eukaryota
Description: partial small subunit ribosomal RNA
Rfam family: Eukaryotic small subunit ribosomal RNA
Source: RNAcentral